GGUGGCGUAGCCAAGCGGUCCAAGGCGGCGGUUUGCAAAACCGCUAUUCCGGGGUUCAAAUCCCCGCGCCACCU
This 74-nucleotide transfer RNA is filed under the name Candidatus Caldipriscus sp. RNAcentral describes it as "tRNA-Cys". It matches the Rfam family "tRNA". From Rfam's summary of the family: Transfer RNA (tRNA) molecules are approximately 80 nucleotides in length. Their secondary structure includes four short double-helical elements and three loops (D, anti-codon, and T loops). Further hydrogen bonds mediate the characteristic L-shaped molecular structure. tRNAs have two regions of fundamental functional importance: the anti-codon, which is responsible for specific mRNA codon recognition, and the 3' end, to which the tRNAs corresponding amino acid is attached (by aminoacyl-tRNA synthetases). tRNAs cope with the degeneracy of the genetic code in two manners: having more than one tRNA (with a specific anti-codon) for a particular amino acid; and 'wobble' base-pairing, i.e. permitting non-standard base-pairing at the 3rd anti-codon position. Lineage: Bacteria; Candidatus Caldipriscota. The record is from RNAcentral.